GGGGACUUGGCUCAGUGGUACGGCGUCGGAUUGCAGCUCUGAUUUUCGGGGGUUCGAUUCCCUCAGUCCCCU
Molecule: transfer RNA, 72 nt
Filed under: Formivibrio sp.
Lineage: Bacteria; Pseudomonadati; Pseudomonadota; Betaproteobacteria; Neisseriales; Chitinibacteraceae
Description: tRNA-Cys
Rfam family: tRNA
About the family: Transfer RNA (tRNA) molecules are approximately 80 nucleotides in length.
Source: RNAcentral